RNAcentral lists this ribosomal RNA (1230 nucleotides) under Triticum aestivum (bread wheat). Its description in RNAcentral is "partial small subunit ribosomal RNA". Lineage: Eukaryota; Viridiplantae; Streptophyta; Magnoliopsida; Poales; Poaceae. The record is from RNAcentral.
AUGGCGCGGUGGCCGGCUGCCGCGGCGUGCGCACUCGGGGCGGCGCUCCUGGGCAUGCUGGCGGUCUCGGCCUCCGGGCAGUCGCCGGUGGCCGCCGCGGACGGGGAAGGCGGCAACAGCAGGUUCACGUGCACGGACACGGAGAAGAAGCGGCCCGGGUGCACGGGCACCUGCCCCGACCGGUGCCCCCGGAGCUGCGUCGCUCUCUGCCCCUCCUGCCAGACAUAUUGCCCUGACCAAGUGCAGCCGGUGCGGCCGGCGUUGUUUGUGUUCGGAGACGGGUCUCUGGACGUCGGUAACAACAACUACAUAGAGCCCAACGAGGUGGGAGACCCUUGGAGGGCCAAUCACUCUUACUACGGCAUAGACUUCCCCAAGUCCGAGCCCACCGGAAGGUUCAGCAACGGGUUCAACAUGGCUGACUUCAUCGCAAAGGCUAUGGGAUUCAAGAUGAGCCCUCCUGCUUAUAUGUCUCUUAAUAGUCCUGCAAAACUUGAUGCCGGUUUCGCUGGAGUCAACUAUGCUUCCGCGACCGCUGGGAUCUGGAGGGACAGCGAUGACGGACUGAACAUUCCAUUGAUGGACCAAGUAAAGUACUUCACGGCCAUGAUAGAGAAGAUGGAGGCCAACCGUAGCCGGCAAGAGUUGAGCAAGAUGUUGUCAAACUCCCUCUUUCUCAUCAGCGUCGGUGCUAGUGAUCUAUACUAUAUCUACAACAUCAUGACCAGAUCGGAGCCAGAUAACAAAACUGAUGUCCCACACCUCUUAUCCUCCUACGGGGACAACAUUACGGCCUUGUACAACUUGGGCGCGAGGAAGUUCGCGAUAAUCAAUGUCCCGACCUUGUGCACGCCGGUGGUGAGCCAUACCUGCGACGACCUAAUGACCAGUCUUCCCAAGGACUUCAACGACGGCAUCAAGCCACUCAUGGCCAGCCUCGCCUCCAACCUUGAUGGCCUCCGCUACUCCAUCGCUGACUUCUACGCCUUCUCAGAUGUAGUCAGCGCAAAUCCGUCGGCAUAUGGAUUUGUGAACACCGGGGCCUCAUGCUGCGAAGGCCCAUGUGCAACUAACUAUAGGCCACCAUGUGCCAACCGCAUGGAGUAUUGGUAUUGGGACCAGGAGAACCCGACGGAGCAGGCUGCUAAGCUGGCCACAACAACAUUUUUCAAUGGCACAACGCAAUUCACAGCACCGGUGAACUUCGAGACGCUGAUCAAUCAAAAGUGA